AAUUUUAACAAAUAAAAGACUAGCAGAUAUCAGGAGCAACCAUUAUGGCUAAGACUGAGAUAGAUAGAGCUCCCAAUAUAGAGCUUUCCCCCUACUAGGGCUGAAAUCCAGAUGUCUUUAGAAAGGGCACACCUUUGAUUUACUGGAUAGUGGAGAAGUCACUAAGGUGCCUUGUAAGUGGGAGCCUAAGUGGGAGUUGCUAGAAGUUUCUGGGGUGCCAGGGGGGCCAUCCACAGAAAGUGGAGUCUUAAAUCAUCAGAGUGAACUCACUGAGUGUCAGAGGGAGCUGGUGGUGGCUGGGCACUGCUGGAACCAAAAUCUGGAGAAGCAGCCCUCUCUAAGUGCCCAGCAUGCUUGCAGGAUGGCCCUGGGAUUCUAGGACUGAAAAGAUGUGGGGAGCAGUGACUUGGUUUGGUGUGCAGGCCCAUACCAUCUGGGAAAUCCCGGAUAAUCCCCAGCCGAACACUUGAGAAAGUUGCAGCCUGCAGCAUGGGAGAAACCACACAGGGAAUAAGCGUGCAGGGGAGGGUGGAGUGUGCCCUACAACAGCCUAGAGAGUGAAUCAUACCAGAACGAGGAAAGGAAAAUCCCUUCCUCCUCUAGCGUCCCUCCAGAACCCUCUGCUGACAAGGCUUAACACUAGGCUGGCUAGCAAAGGAGAAAUAUUUACAAAAUCCAUCUUCAUUUAUUACAAAGUAGGCCAAAAUAUGGUGAAUUUGGAGCUAAGAGGAAAUAAAUCAAUAAACAGCAUAGUCUGCCCCUUUGAGUACUCACUGUCCAUAUAUACCUUCUACACACACUUGAAUGCCAUACAAUAAUAACUCUACAUUUCACCUAACAGGAUACUCAUCAUCUUCAAAAUGAGGAGAUGCAACAAUCAUUGCAUACAGUGCUGUGGCUAUAUUAAUUGCCCUUUAGAAUCAUCCCAGUUCCACUGGAUAGUCUGUUGCCCAAAGACUAAUUGUGAAUUUAACCUCUAGCAACUUGCGUAUAAAUUUUUUUUUAAUAGAAGGGAGCAAGAAGAGGAAAAUGUGAGCAUAUAUACAUAAGUACAUACGUAUGAAAAGCAAAAAAAGGAAAUCUGCAAAAUGACUACAGCCCUUUUUUCUGCAGUUGGUCACAAGGCCCUGAUAGUUACUUAUGGCUUCCUUCUUCUACUAUUCAUUGAUUUCACCCACCUGCAGCCAGAACGUGGUAGAGUAAUUCAAACUCUCAUUCCUGAAAGUUCCAAGUCCUCAAUUAUCCUGCCUUUUAUUUUGGUUUCUGUACUUUUCUACUACACUUUUCUAUUGCAUAUGGAGUACUAAUAUACACCCCAAACUGUCUCCUGGGUUACAGACAUAGUCUUCCUAGCUCCUAAUGUGUAAAGGCAACCCAGUUUCCUCUUGGCAAUAGGGAUCAGUCACUCCACCUAGUAGAGCAAUCCAUCUUUCUGCCUGUUGAUUCAGUAGCAUGAGGAGUCCAGAAUAGCCAAAUGGAAAUCUUUCUCCAAUUCAAUGGAACCAUUGUGUCUCAUGGUGGAAACCAUGUUCCCUUUAAGAACUCAAAUCUCUGAAAUGGCAGAGCUCAAAGAUGCCAGAAGAAGCAGCAAAUAUCCUGCAAGUGUGUUAUUAGGUGUUGCUAUGGUCUGAAUGUUGGUGACCUCCCAAAAUUUAUAUGUUGAAAUCUAAUCACAAACAUAAUAGUAUUAAGAAGUGGGGGCUUUAGGAAGUGAUUAAGUCAUGAGAGUGGAACCCUCAUAAAUGAGAUUAGUGCCUUGGGAAAAGAGGUGCAAGGGAACUGUUCACCCCUUCCUCCAGGUGAAGAGCCACAAGAAGAUGCCAUAUUGGAAGCAGAAAGCAAGCCCUCGCCAGGCACUGAAUCUGCUUGAUCUGGACUUCCCAGCCUCUAGAACUAGAAACAGAACCAAUGGGAUGUACAUAAAGAGGUUUAUUGUAAGAAAUCAGCACAUGUGAUUAUGGAGGCUGACAAAUCCCAAGAUCUGCAGGGGGAGGUGGCAAGCUGGAGACUCAGGGGAGCGUGUCUUGAACCAGAGCCAAUGUGGGUUUCCACAGACCACUAGGCAAGACACGUUGACUUCACCUCCACUCAUAUCUGCUGUACAGAAAACCCGACAUGAUUAAUCUAGCCUGCAAUCUGACAGAGACAGAACUGAAUAUAACCAGUUAUUCCUCAGGUGCCCCCAGUGAUUACCUGCUCUUCCAACAGAACAGAAAGGGUCUUACGGCCACUGGAUAAAGAGACCAUUCUGUGUUUCAAGGCUGGAGUUAUCCAGGAAUAAAGCUAUAUCUUCAAGC
RNAcentral lists this long non-coding RNA (2297 nucleotides) under Pongo abelii (Sumatran orangutan). RNAcentral describes it as "lincRNA". Lineage: Eukaryota; Metazoa; Chordata; Mammalia; Primates; Hominidae. The record is from RNAcentral.